AUUGAACGCUGGCGGCAGGCCUAACACAUGCAAGUCGAGCGGAUGAAGGGAGCUUGCUCCUGGAUUCAGCGGCGGACGGGUGAGUAAUGCCUAGGAAUCUGCCUGGUAGUGGGGGAUAACGUCCGGAAACGGGCGCUAAUACCGCAUACGUCCUGAGGGAGAAAGUGGGGGAUCUUCGGACCUCACGCUAUCAGAUGAGCCUAGGUCGGAUUAGCUAGUUGGUGGGGUAAAGGCCUACCAAGGCGACGAUCCGUAACUGAUCUGAGAGGCUGAUCAGUCACACUGGAACUGAGACACGGUCCAGACUCCUACGGGAGGCAGCAGUGGGGAAUAUUGGGCAAUGGGCGAAAGCCUGAUCCAGCCAUGCCGCGUGUGUGAAGAAGGUCUUCGGAUUGUAAAGCACUUUAAGUUGGGAGGAAGGGCAAUAAGUUUAUACCUUGCUGUUUUGACGUUACCAACAGAAUAAGCACCGGCUAACUUCGUG
Molecule: ribosomal RNA, 484 nt
Filed under: uncultured bacterium
Lineage: Bacteria
Description: partial 16S ribosomal RNA
Rfam family: Bacterial small subunit ribosomal RNA
Source: RNAcentral